GAUGAACGCUGGCGGCGUGCUUAACACAUGCAAGUCGAACGAGAAAUGUAGACGGAAACCUUCGGGCGGAAGCCUUCAUUUCGAGUGGCGGACGGGUGAGUAACGCGUGGGUAACCUGCCUCAUACAGGGGGAUAACAGUUGGAAACGACUGUUAAUACCGCAUAAGACCACAGCAUCGCAUGAUGCGGGGGUAAAAACUCCGGUGGUAUGAGAUGGACCCGCGUUCGAUUAGCCAGUUGGCGGGGUAACGGCCCACCAAAGCGACGAUCGAUAGCCGAUCUGAGAGGAUGACCGGCCACAUUGGGACUGAGGCACGGCCCAAACUCCUACGGGAGGCAGCAGUGGGGAAUAUUGCACAAUGGGGGAAACCCUGAUGCAGCGACGCCGCGUGAGUGAAGAAGUACUUCGGUAUGUAAAGCUCUAUCAGCAGGGAAGAAAAUGACGGUACCUGAGGAAGAAGCCCCGGCUAACUACGUG
This 478-nucleotide ribosomal RNA is filed under the name uncultured bacterium. RNAcentral describes it as "partial 16S ribosomal RNA". It matches the Rfam family "Bacterial small subunit ribosomal RNA", at positions 28 to 507 of the family's 1533-position model. The record is from RNAcentral.